Molecule: ribosomal RNA, 352 nt
Filed under: uncultured bacterium
Lineage: Bacteria
Description: bacterial SSU rRNA
Rfam family: Bacterial small subunit ribosomal RNA
Source: RNAcentral
UCGUCAGCUCGUGUCGUGAGAUGUUGGGUUAAGUCCCGCAACGAGCGCAACCCUUGUCAUUAGUUGCUACGAAAGGGCACUCUAAUGAGACUGCCGGUGACAAACCGGAGGAAGGUGGGGAUGACGUCAAGUCCUCAUGGCCCUUAUGGGUAGGGCUUCACACGUCAUACAAUGGUCGGUACAGAGGGUUGCCAAGCCGCGAGGUGGAGCCAAUCCCAGAAAACCGAUCGUAGUCCGGAUUGUAGUCUGCAACUCGACUACAUGAAGUCGGAAUCGCUAGUAAUCGCGGAUCAGCAUGUCGCGGUGAAUACGUUCCCGGGUCUUGUACACACCGCCCGUCACACCAUGGGAG